UGGGGAAUUUUGGACAAUGGACGCAAGUCUGAUCCAGCAAUGCCGCGUGCAGGACGAAGGCCUUCGGGUUGUAAACUGCUUUUGUACAGAACGAAAAGGCUCUGGUUAAUACCUGGGGUUCAUGACGGUACCGUAAGAAUAAGCACCGGCUAACUACGUGCCAGCAGCCGCGGUAAUACGUAGGGUGCAAGCGUUAAUCGGAGUUACUGGGCGUAAAGCGUGCGCAGGCGGUGAUGUAAGACAGAUGUGAAAUCCCCGGGCUCAACCUGGGAACUGCAUUAGUGACUGCAUCGCUGGAGUGCGGCAGAGGGGGAUGGAAUUCCGCGUGUAGCAGUGAAAUGCGUAGAUAUGCGGAGGAACACCGAUGGCGAAGGCAAUCCCCUGGGCCUGCACUGACGCUCAUGCACGAAAGCGUGGGGAGCAAACG
This 427-nucleotide ribosomal RNA is filed under the name uncultured prokaryote. Its description in RNAcentral is "bacterial SSU rRNA". It matches the Rfam family "Bacterial small subunit ribosomal RNA", at positions 355 to 774 of the family's 1533-position model. The record is from RNAcentral.